UUUGAGUCCUACCUAUCGCGG
RNAcentral lists this non-coding RNA (21 nucleotides) under Arabidopsis thaliana (thale cress). Lineage: Eukaryota; Viridiplantae; Streptophyta; Magnoliopsida; Brassicales; Brassicaceae. The record is from RNAcentral.